This is a long non-coding RNA of Neopsephotus bourkii (Bourke's parrot), 2244 nucleotides long. RefSeq lists it as uncharacterized. The record is from RefSeq and is a predicted model, not a curated record. Lineage: Eukaryota; Metazoa; Chordata; Aves; Psittaciformes; Psittacidae. The transcript is spliced from 3 exons.
UUUAAUCACUGGUGUGGCAGGAGGAGGAUGGGACAGGCUGGCAGCUGAAGGUUGCCCCUGCUGGAGUGCUGCAGGGUGGAAGAAGGGGGUGAAAACCAGCAGAUGCCUGAAGCAAGAGAAAAUGAGGAAAAAGUUGUUUAUGGUUUGGACUUGCAAGGAUCGUUUUGGAAAAGCUGAAAUGCUGCUGCUGGAUGGAAGAGGGAUGCAGUGUUUGCCCUUCAUGCUGCUGCUUAUCACUCAGCCCAGGCCCCAGGAAUUUGCAGGCACGCAGAGACAUUCAGAGUGAUGCUUCCCUUUCAUUACUCAGGGAAAGAGGCUGAAGGCAUGGUAGGGAGGUGAUGAGGGAGAUCCUCAGAGCAUGGUUGCAGUGAUUGUUGCAAGACUGUUGAAUCAAAAGGACCUAGAAAACAUUAAAACACUCAAGAAAGUAUACUGUGUCCUUGGGGAAACUGAGGCAUGGGAUGUUUCAGUCCCAAAAGCACCCACAAAGGUGACAUUUUGGGGAAGCCUGUCCUCAAAAGCUUGAUAUUUAAGAGGAAACACAAGUUAUCACGGCUCCAGGUGAAAUAAAGGGUUCCUUUUGCGUUUGUCCCCAGCAAACCAAGCAACAGCACCUUUUGCAAGGUGUCUGCAUCAAACAGAGCACUGAAAUGGCCACUUUCAAAGGAGGAGAUGGGUGAGCUGGAGACAUGGCUCAUCCCCCAGCUUCAAUCUGGGUGUUUGAUGCUCUUCUCUGCAGCCUCCUUCCAUUUAUUCCUUGUUUAUAAAACUUCCCAGCUUUCAGGAAUGAAAUUCCAAUUUGAGGGUGUUUAUUAAUUGAGGACAUUGAUGGGUUGGGCUUUUUUCUCCUAUAAAACUUUUCCUGCAAGCAGUAUACUUUUCAAGCCAAAGAUUUUCACUCCAGUUGGGCACUUUUAGCUGCUUUUGAACUCACUAUUAAUGGCUCUCACUGAAGAAAUUAGAUGUUAAAGUGAGGGCAAAUGUUUCCAAAACAGAGAAAAAAUACCAAAUAAAACAUAAGGUUAUCAGAGUGAACGGUUUGGUUGGUGUGUGCCAAAAUACCAUUUGAAUUCAGCAGUUGCAGGAGUUUUCAGAGGAUUGGUUAACAUUCCCCAUCCGAGACAAUGUUUUUAUUCCCAAAUUGCCAGCAAACCCAAAAAAAUUCAUUUCCCUCUCCCUUUGUAAGUGAAUAUCCACUGGGGUAUUUGAUAGCUGUAAUUUACUCUUCGCGCUGUGUAAUUAGCCACCUCAAUCAAAUGGCAUCAUUUCUAUCUUUGCUCGAAGAAUAAACUAUUCCAUUGCAAAAACAAAUGCCUUUUCCUCGAGCAAAUCCCAUGGACAGGCUGAAAUUUCACAGCCAACUUCUGCUUUCAGCCCAUGCUCACGCUUGUCACAAGGUUUGAAAGCUUUUUCUGGGGGAAAAAAAAGGGAGAAAUGGGGCUGAAUAUUGACUCACAGCUCUUGCUCAUCACCCUGGAGCAGCAGCCUGCUCAGGGAGGUGGGAGGAUUUGAAUAUAUGUUGGUGAAUGGGGUUUUUUCCCCACUAUAAUGCAGGGUUUGGGGAUGCAUGGCACAGGAAAAGCGAAAUGAGCUGCAGGGUUAUCCAGAGGUUUCCUUUUACACCAGAAAGCAUCAAAAGCAGUGCAGAACAAUCUUUUUUUUCAGCAGAUAAAAUGGCCCUUAUUUCCAACAAAGAAUGAAAUCAUUCCACAAGAAGGUCAGGAACUGGGAAUCUCCAGCAUCCCAUUCUCCUCCCCUUCCCUGCACUUGGAGUUGUCUUCCUUAUCUGGGUGUAAAACCCUGCUCAGCCUCAUGUUAGAAUCUCUGCUUGCCUUAAAUUUUAGGAUGUAGCUAGAUACAGGUAUAGGCCUUGUAAUCUGGGCACAUUAUUUACCGGGAGCACUUGUCUGAAGCCGGUCUCAGGAGAUUCACUGGGUGCCAAGCUGGAGUUACAGCCUGCACACAAUAAAAAGGAGAGAAGGAAAAGAGGGAAAUUGCCUUAUAAAACCCACAAGGACUUUGGCUUUCUAUGUGUUCUUUGCUGGAGCUGUUAAACUCAAGGCUGCCUUCUGAGCCUGCUCAGUCCUUGUCUUGCUCCUGCCAGACUUGAGAGACGGAACUUUCCUUCCUUAUUCUUCUUAGCAUAGCAAUCUCUUGUUAACAUAAUAAGGUUAAUUCUCGGGCUGCAAUCAGCAAGCCACACUCUCUCCAAGCCAUACAGAAUAUCCUUUCCUUGCCACAUUU